GACGAACGCUGGCGGCGUGCCUAAUACAUGCAAGUCGAACGCACUCUCGUUUAGAUUGAAGGAGUUUGCUCCUGAUUGAUAAACAUUUGAGUGAGUGGCGGACGGGUGAGUAACACGUGGGUAACCUGCCCUAAAGUGGGGGAUAACAUUUGGAAACAGAUGCUAAUACCGCAUAAAACCUAACACCGCAUGGUGUAGGGUUGAAAGAUGGUUUCGGCUAUCACUUUAGGAUGGACCCGCGGUGCAUGAGUUAGUUGGUGGGGUAAAGGCUCACCAAGACCGUGAUGCAUAGCCGACCUGAGAGGGUAAUCGGCCACACUGGGACUGGGACACGGCCCAGACUCCUACGGGAGGCAGCAGUAGGGAAUCUUCCACAAUGGACGAAAGUCUGAUGGAGCAACGCCGCGUGAGUGAAGAAGGUGUUCGGAUCGUAAAACUCUGUUGUUGGAGAAGAAUGUAUCUGAUAGUAACUGAUCAGGUAGUGACGGUAUCCAACCAGAAAGCCACGGCUAACUACGUG
RNAcentral lists this ribosomal RNA (520 nucleotides) under uncultured bacterium. RNAcentral describes it as "partial 16S ribosomal RNA". It matches the Rfam family "Bacterial small subunit ribosomal RNA", at positions 28 to 507 of the family's 1533-position model. The record is from RNAcentral.